GAUACAAGGGUCACAAGGGAUUAUCAAUGCAUGCUUGCAUGCAACUUGAUAUAUCCCUUAGUGACCCGCACUACACCGAGAAAGUAGCAAUUUGCUGCGGAAACGCAGUAAAUUAGCGGAUUUCGAGGUGGAGUCAGAUUACGAGAAUGCGUAGCAUGGAGUAAUCUGU
Molecule: small RNA, 169 nt
Filed under: uncultured Agathobacter sp.
Lineage: Bacteria; Bacillati; Bacillota; Clostridia; Lachnospirales; Lachnospiraceae
Description: Clostridiales-1 RNA
Rfam family: Clostridiales-1 RNA
Source: RNAcentral